UGCUUGCUUCGGCAGCACGUAUACUAAAAUUGGAACGAUACAGAGAAGAUUAGCAUGGCCCCUGCACAAGGAUGUCACGCAAAUUCGUGAAGAGUUCCAUAUUUUU
This 106-nucleotide small nuclear RNA is filed under the name Cervus elaphus hippelaphus. The record is from RNAcentral. Lineage: Eukaryota; Metazoa; Chordata; Mammalia; Artiodactyla; Cervidae.